GUCAGGAUAGCUCAGUUGGUAGCAGAGGACUGAAAAUCCUCG
Molecule: transfer RNA, 42 nt
Filed under: Festuca ovina
Lineage: Eukaryota; Viridiplantae; Streptophyta; Magnoliopsida; Poales; Poaceae
Description: partial tRNA-Phe
Source: RNAcentral